GACGAACGCUGGCGGCGUGCUUAACACAUGCAAGUCGAACGGAAAGGCCCUGCUUGCAGGGUACUCGAGUGGCGAACGGGGGAGUAACACGUGGGUGAUCUGCCCUGCACUUCGGGAUAAGCCUGGGAAACUGGGUCUAAUACCGGAUAGGAGCCAUUUUUAGUGUGAUGGUUGGAAAGUUUUUUCGGUGUAGGGUGAGCUCGCGGCCUAUCAGCUUGUUGGUGGGGUAAUGGCCUACCAAGGCGGCGACGGGUAGCCGGCCUGAGAGGGUGGACGGCCACAUUGGGACUGAGAUACGGCCCAGACUCCUACGGGAGGCAGCAGUGGGGAAUAUUGCACAAUGGGCGCAAGCCUGAUGCAGCGACGCCGCGUGGGGGAUGACGGCCUUCGGGUUGUAAACUCCUUUCGCUAGGGACGAAGCUUUUUGUGACGGUACCUAGAUAAGAAGCACCGGCUAACUACGUG
RNAcentral lists this ribosomal RNA (465 nucleotides) under uncultured bacterium. RNAcentral's name for it is "partial 16S ribosomal RNA". It matches the Rfam family "Bacterial small subunit ribosomal RNA", at positions 28 to 507 of the family's 1533-position model. The record is from RNAcentral.